Small nucleolar RNA from Eptesicus fuscus (big brown bat), 126 nucleotides. RefSeq annotates it as small nucleolar RNA SNORA27. The transcript has a single exon. NCBI's taxonomy places the organism in Eukaryota, Metazoa, Chordata, Mammalia, Chiroptera, Vespertilionidae. The record is from RefSeq and is a predicted model, not a curated record.
GAACGCAUAAUAAUCUGGCCACUCAGUGUAUGUCUUUAUUGGUCAUUCAAGUAGGGCAAAGGAAAUAUCCUUUUAAAACUCAAGCAAACUGGGUGUUUGUCUUGUAUCCUGUCAGAGGAAAAAAAU